This 73-nucleotide transfer RNA is filed under the name Candidatus Omnitrophota bacterium. Its description in RNAcentral is "Candidatus Omnitrophica bacterium (sediment metagenome) tRNA-Gly". It matches the Rfam family "tRNA". Rfam says of the family: Transfer RNA (tRNA) molecules are approximately 80 nucleotides in length. Their secondary structure includes four short double-helical elements and three loops (D, anti-codon, and T loops). Further hydrogen bonds mediate the characteristic L-shaped molecular structure. tRNAs have two regions of fundamental functional importance: the anti-codon, which is responsible for specific mRNA codon recognition, and the 3' end, to which the tRNAs corresponding amino acid is attached (by aminoacyl-tRNA synthetases). tRNAs cope with the degeneracy of the genetic code in two manners: having more than one tRNA (with a specific anti-codon) for a particular amino acid; and 'wobble' base-pairing, i.e. permitting non-standard base-pairing at the 3rd anti-codon position. Lineage: Bacteria; Pseudomonadati; Candidatus Omnitrophota. The record is from RNAcentral.
GCGGCGGUAAUUCAGUUGGUAGAAUGCGACCUUGCCAAGGUCGAUGUCGUGGGUUCGAACCCCAUCCGCCGCU